AGAGCGAACGCUGGCGGCAGGCUUAACACAUGCAAGUCGAGCGGGCGUAGCAAUACGUCAGCGGCAGACGGGUGAGUAACGCGUGGGAACAUACCUUUUGGUUCGGAACAACACAGGGAAACUUGUGCUAAUACCGGAUAAGCCCUUACGGGGAAAGAUUUAUCGCCGAAAGAUUGGCCCGCGUCUGAUUAGCUAGUUGGUGAGGUAACGGCUCACCAAGGCGACGAUCAGUAGCUGGUCUGAGAGGAUGAUCAGCCACAUUGGGACUGAGACACGGCCCAAACUCCUACGGGAGGCAGCAGUGGGGAAUAUUGGACAAUGGGCGCAAGCCUGAUCCAGCCAUGCCGCGUGAGUGAUGAAGGCCCUAGGGUUGUAAAGCUCUUUGUGCGGGAAGAUAAUGACGGUACCGCAAGAAUAAGCCCGGACUAACUUCGUGCCAGCAGCCGC
This 447-nucleotide ribosomal RNA is filed under the name uncultured bacterium. RNAcentral describes it as "SSU rRNA". It matches the Rfam family "Bacterial small subunit ribosomal RNA", at positions 26 to 518 of the family's 1533-position model. The record is from RNAcentral.